ACAUAAAUUAAAGAUUGUUUCAUUACACGUGUCGUCGUUACAAAGACAUUUUUACGUUUUUCAAAUUGUUUUGUUUAGGUUUUAAAAUUACAGUAGGCUAGGUACUACAUGUUAAUCACAUGUUAAACAAGGGAAUUAUUAAUUAUUGUUGGUUCAUGAUAGAUAUUUUAAAUUAUUACUCAACCCCGUGAUCUUUUCUUCCAGAUAUCCGUA
Non-coding RNA from Cinara cedri, 213 nucleotides. Lineage: Eukaryota; Metazoa; Arthropoda; Insecta; Hemiptera; Aphididae. The record is from the annotation of a GenBank genome assembly.